AUGAGGAUGAUGAAAAAAUAGACGAUUUACCAUGAUUUUCUCUUAAAAAAAAGAAAGGAUGAUCUUACAACCAGCUACUUCUGACUCAU
Erigeron canadensis is the source of this 89-nucleotide small nucleolar RNA. RefSeq annotates it as small nucleolar RNA R12. NCBI's taxonomy places the organism in Eukaryota, Viridiplantae, Streptophyta, Magnoliopsida, Asterales, Asteraceae. The record is from RefSeq and is a predicted model, not a curated record. The transcript has a single exon.